This 110-nucleotide transfer RNA is filed under the name Lingula anatina. It matches the Rfam family "tRNA". From Rfam's summary of the family: Transfer RNA (tRNA) molecules are approximately 80 nucleotides in length. Lineage: Eukaryota; Metazoa; Brachiopoda; Lingulata; Lingulida; Lingulidae. The record is from Rfam by way of RNAcentral.
GCUCCGGUGGCACAAUCGGUUAGCGCGCCGUACUUAUAAAUAGUAACUUCCGCCCUACGUCGUAGGGUUGAGGCAUGCGGAGGUUGUGAGUUCGAUCCUCACCCGGAGCA